Molecule: long non-coding RNA, 276 nt
Filed under: Gallus gallus (chicken)
Lineage: Eukaryota; Metazoa; Chordata; Aves; Galliformes; Phasianidae
Source: RNAcentral
CUGGAAGGGACGUGAGUCACCUGAGGGUGAGGAUUGUCUGUAAGAUGCAUCUUGGUAAGAUCAGCUGGAAGCGACAGGUAGCUGCUGGCAUCCACGUUGUCGGUGAUGGUCUGGCGCUCGCCCCGCUGGUUGAUCUUCCUAAACCUGCGCCGGGACUGCCGGAGUGGGACUUCUCUUUGCAGGAUGCUUUCCUCAUUGUCCUUGGAGUUCUCCACCACAAUCAUUUCUGAAGGCUCCAGUAUGAUACAUUCGCAUCCUCGUUUUCCUCCAGACUGC